Molecule: ribosomal RNA, 499 nt
Filed under: uncultured bacterium
Lineage: Bacteria
Description: partial 16S ribosomal RNA
Rfam family: Bacterial small subunit ribosomal RNA
Source: RNAcentral
ACUCAAAUGAAUUGACGGGGGCCCGCACAAGCGGUGGAUCAUGUGGUUUAAUUCGAAGCAACGCGAAGAACCUUACCUGGGUUUGACAUCUCCGGCUACUCGUGGAGACACGAGGUGAGUAGCAAUACUCCCGGAAGACAGGUGCUGCAUGGCUGUCGUCAGCUCGUGUGGUGACAUGUUGGGUUAAGUCCCGCAACGAGCGCAACCCUUGUCCUUAGUUGCCAGCAUUCAGUUGGGCUCUCUAAGGAGACUGCCGUGGUUAACACGGAGGAAGGUGGGGAUGACGUCAAGUCCUCAUGGCCUUUAUAUCCAGGGCGACACACGUGAUACAAUGGACGGUACAGAGGGAAGCGAAGGAGCGAUCUGGAGCUAAUCUCAAAAAGCCGUUCUCAGUUCGGAUUGGAGUCUGCAACUCGACUCCAUGAAGUUGGAAUCGCUAGUAAUCGCGGAUCAGCACGCCGCGGUGAAUACGUUCCCGGGCCUUGUACACACCGCCCGU